Molecule: RNA transcript, 7274 nt
Organism: Leopardus geoffroyi (Geoffroy's cat)
Lineage: Eukaryota; Metazoa; Chordata; Mammalia; Carnivora; Felidae
Gene: PFN2
Gene name: profilin 2
Exons: 5
Source: RefSeq, a predicted model, not a curated record
GCGCGCACGCCCGCCCCGCCGUGGCCGCGGAGGACUGAAAGGUGCCGCGGUGAGGAGCAGCGGCCGCGGACACCGUCGUCGCCGGCACUGCCGCUCCGCAGCCUCCCGCCGCUGGUUAGUCAGCCCCGCGGCUGCGGGCGGGCAGGCGGGCAGGCAGGCCGGGCGCGCUCCGCGGCUUGUCCCUCACCGUCGUCCCCGCGUCCUCCCUCCGCAGCUCCUCGGGGAGGGGGGCGGUCGGUGCCUGCGCAGAGCCGCCUCCUCCCCGCCCCCGCCCCGCCUCCCCCCGCGCCGCCGCCGCCGCCCGCUGCCGCCGCCGCUGCGCCUGCUGCUCCUCGCCGUCCCCGCUGCAGUGCGAAGGGCUCGAAGAUGGCCGGUUGGCAGAGCUACGUGGAUAACCUGAUGUGCGAUGGCUGCUGCCAGGAGGCCGCCAUUGUCGGCUACUGCGACGCCAAAUACGUCUGGGCAGCCACGGCCGGGGGCGUCUUCCAGAGCAUUACGCCAGUAGAAAUAGAUAUGAUUGUAGGAAAAGACCGGGAAGGUUUCUUUACCAACGGUUUGACUCUUGGCGCAAAGAAGUGCUCAGUGAUCAGAGAUAGCCUAUACGUCGAUGGUGACUGCACAAUGGACAUCCGGACAAAGAGUCAAGGUGGGGAGCCAACAUACAACGUUGCUGUCGGCAGAGCUGGUAGAGGUAUUUCUGAAGGCAAAAUAUCAAGAUAAAUUCAUCUCUGGGUGCCCAUCAAACGGUUCUAGUUACCAUUAGAGGAGGUAAUCUGGUGGAUAAAGGCCUCAGUCUUCUUCAGAGGGACGAUUCUGAAGCACAUGGCUCCUCAGAGGGACUCUGGGGGAUGGAGACCCUGCCGUCCACAGAGGCCCCUAGAAGAUCAAGAUUUGCAACACCCUUCCAGAGCCAACAUCAACAAACUCAAAUUAUGUAUAUCCCUAAGUAGUUGCGUGUUCUAAUCCAGUAGUUAUUUUUCUUUUCCCUCAUAUAAAAGAAAUUAAACAAAAAACUUGAGCAGCUUCAGGCACCCUUGGAGUUAAAGUGGAGGAUGCACUGGGCCUACAUUACUUUUACAUAUAGCAGAAUUACUUCUAGAUACUUUUUUUUUUUUUUAACGUUUUUUCAUUUUUGAGAGAUGGAGAGGGACAGAGCAUGAAUGGGGGAGGGUCAGAAAGAGAGGGAGACAGAAUCUUAAGCAGGCUCCAGGCUGUCAGCACAGAGCCUGAUGCAGGGCUCGAACCCACAGACCGUGAGAUAGUGACCUGUGCUGAAGUUGGACGCUUAACCGACUGAGCCACCCAGGCACCCCACCUCUAGAUACUUUUGCCUAUCAACUAGAUUGGUCCAAUAUUUAAUUACAACCCUCAGUGCAGCAAAAGUGACUUAAAAAAAUCAUACGUUAAAUGUUCUUCUAAAAAGUGCAUAGUUAUAAGAACAGAAAUAUAAAUAGGUAAUUUACCUGGUUAUUGUAGAAUAUGAUAAAGUAAGUAUUCUCAUAUACUGCUGGUAGACCUGAAACUUUGGGAAAUUAGUUUCACCUCAAAAAAAAAAAAAAUUCUUUCUCUUUGACAUAGUAAAUUAGGAAGGAGGUUAAGUGCAGCUGGGGGUGGGGAGAGGACAAGAAAAGAGGAAUGGGAAGGAUUAAAGUCAGGAGACAACUUAUUUUAUUUUGAAAUGGUAGUAACUGAAGAGUAAAGAUAGGGUAGGUAGUAUUUACAAGUACAGUGUCAGAAGUCAAGAAUUUGCAUUGCAGCCCUGAUAUAUAAUGUUUACCUGGCUUUGCACCCUCAGGUAUUAUACGUAAUCUGUCUGAGUCUCAUUUUCCUUAUAAAUGGUCAUGACAGUACUUUCCUUAGUUGGUUGUUCCGAGAACUAAAUGAUGCAGAGUACAUGAUUUGCUUGCUUUUAUGUAAUAGGUGUGAUACAUGCUUGCAAGAUCUAAAAUAGAAAAUUACCAGAUUUUUAUUGGGUGCAAUGCCCAUCCCAAGUCAGUUUAAUUCCAGUUAACUCACUUGGUAUAAAGUACACUGACUUCUUCAGUUACAGGUUAAUGGACUGAAGGUGUAGUUCUAGUAAUCAGAGCUACGGGCCAAUGAUAAAGAUCAAGAGUACUAUGAUACAAACCAACCUACAGGGUCUCAAUCCCCUUCAGUCCACCUCAAAGCUACAAUGCAGACCUUGAGAUCUCUAUUCCUGGACAUGAAAUAAUAAAAUAGUUCACCCUCAGGUAACUCAAGAAUGCACUGAUUUCUCAGAAGCCAUAGGCAUGACAGUAACUCCUACCCAACUUGGAACCUCAUUAUUUUACUGCUUUGUGGCCAUUAUGUAAGUAAGUACUCUGUUAGAGGAACAGAGAAAUAUUUUCUUUUCUGAUUUGGUUUUUAAGAGUAAAUUCAGAACAGGUUUCCCCUGAAACAGUUCAACACAGAAUAUUAACUAGCAUUAGUUAUAGAUUCUUAGCUUUGUGAAGAGAUGGACUGUCUUUUACUCACCAUUAUAUCCCCAGUGUUCAUAUAGUGCUUAUUACAGACUGGGCUCCCAAUAAAUACAUGCUAAAUAACAAAUACCACAAAGCCUUUGUUCAUUUCAUGAUGGCUGGUUAAACGGGCAGCAUCUGCCUCUCACCUGGUACAUCCCAUAUGAACUCUCCCUGCUUCACUAUCAAUCCCUAGUCUGUUCUCCAUUCACCAGCAUAAAGGAUCCUUUGCCACAGUACUUUGAGCAGGUCAUUCUAAUGCUCAAAGCCCACCCAAGUUACAGCAUCACGUGAUACAAUCACAAGUCCUUGUCCUGGCACGAUCUAGCUCCCCGUCUAUCUCUGACUUCCUCUCUAAUCACUCUCCCUCCACCCCACUACCAUACUGGCCACAAGCUCUUUACUGUUCCCUGAAUAUGUCACACUGUUGUCUCAAGACCUAUGUAGUUCUCUUCCUCUGGCUGCAGUGUUCUCCCUUUCCCUUCACCCCUGUUUAUUCUCUGUUCAAAGUGUCCUCAGAGAAGUCUUCCCUGUCUUUUCUAAAAUAGUAUCCCAUCUCCUCUCCUAUCACUCAUUUGCUUUUCUUUAUUGCACUUACUGCUAUGUGACUUUAUUUUUUAUUUGUUCAUUUGCCCCCACUAAGCUCCACAAAGGCUGGAUUUUUUUUUCUUUUUUAUUUAUUGCAGCUUCCCUAGCACCUAGAAGAGUGCCUGGCACAGAGUAAAAGUACUCAGUAAAUAUUUAUUGAAGGAAUAUAUGAAUACCCAAGUUAUUCCCAGGAAAUCUUGAUUUCUGCCUCCAAUUGCUCAUCAGAAGACCUAAUCACAUAAAUCUAAGUACAAAAGGCUAAAUAUUUUUAUAUAAUGUACAUAAAUUCUGUAGAUCCUGACUGAUGGAGUAAAGCUGGCCUCAGAUUUUACUAUCCAGGUCCAAUGUUGAAUAUGCCAGCCAGCUCUAAAGACAACAAAAGUACUAUAAAGAUUAUAAUGUUUUGCACAGUGGCAAUAUCUGAUCUUGUGGCUACUGAUCAUCAGAUGGUAUACAAGAAGGAAGAGCUGACUGUACUAGGAGAUACAGGAGAAGGGUUCUUGGAGAGGGACUAGGGUCAGGCCUUCAAGAUAAUCUGGAUUUAGAAAAACUAAGGAGGAAGAUACUAAUGGGAGAAUAACAGUUGAAAAGCGUUUGCAAAGAAGAAAUAAACAUAGCAGAAUCAGUUAUGCAAGGUUAGAGAUAAAGAGCAGUGGAAAAUAAGGUUGGAUGAGUGUGGUGGAGACAAAUUAUGAAAAGCUGUGAAUACUAACAGGACUCUGAAAUGACUUCUUAGGCCAUAGAGAUCAAUUGAAAGCUUUCAAGCAGAGGAAUGACUGAUGUAUGAAAUAGCAUCUUAACAAGUGUUGAUCAGUGUGCUGAAGGGACCCAGGCCUGGGAUACAGAGCUCAGUGAGCCUAAAGACAGUAAGACUGGAUUGUCACUCCCAAGAUUCAAGUAACAAACUGAUGAAGGGCUUGCACGAUACAGUGGUAACAAGAAUGGAUAGAGAUGCUCUGAUCCAAUAAUCAUUUUGAAAGAACAACUCAUUGAAUCUGGGGACUAGGCGUACGUAAUAAAAGAGAGGGGGUAAAUCAAAGAUGAUGUAUGUAAUUUUAAAUGAUGGCUGUUUGCUUAACUUUUAAGUGUUUUAUUUGGCAUUAUUAGGAUACAAGAGGAGCAGGAGAGGGAAUGGAAGCAAAUUAACAGGCUGGCAAUUUCUUUUUUAAAUCAAGAAUGGGGCACCUGGGUGGCUUAGUCAGUUAAGCGUCCGACUUCGGCUCAGGUCAUGAUCUCACAGUCUGUGAGUUCAAGCCCCGCGUUGGGCUCUGUGCUGACAGCUCAGAGCCUGGAGCCUGCUUCAGAUUCUGUGUCUCCCUCUCUCUCUGCCCCUCCCCCAUUCAUGCUCUGUCUCUGUCUCAAAAAUAAACGUUUAAAAACAUUUUUUUUUAAUAAACCAAGAAUGGGUAAGUUAAUUCUAAAUAAUAAAGAGAUGGUUUUAGUGUUUUGUGAUUAUAUUUUAUCCUGAAAUAAUGUGUAACUGUUACUAAAGAUUAAUUAUAGCCUGAACAACAUGUGCAGCUUAUUUAGACCACAGUGUGUCAGAACGCACUCUCUCUGCAAAGGUAGAGUAUCUAGACUUUCUCACUGGAUCACACAUUUUAUUGUAAUAUAAGAAAUGUUGUAUUGUGAUGGGAAAUCUUACUUUCCAUGGAAAUAUAUAUAAAUUACAUUUGCCCUACAUUAGAAAUUCUUUGAAAAUGGGAAUCACAUUUCUGAUCCGUAAGUUUUUUAAAAUGUCCAUUAUAGUAACAGACAUACAUGGACAUUUACAUGGCAAAUAUAGAAUAAGUGCCUGCUCGACACCAUGAAUUAUAUUAAAGCAGAGGUUAAAGGAAGAAUAGGGACUUAGAGGUAAACAAAGCAGGGAUGUAUGGGUGGCACAGGAAGUAGCCCAUGUGGCUAGAAUGUAAGAUGCAAAGAGAAUGGGAUGAGGUGAGGGGUAAAAGGCUCAGACCAUAAGACCCUUAGGCUUAAAGUAGAAGUUUGACUUUAUUCUUACAUAUAAAUGAUUCUCAGAAUAAACCAUGGAGGUUUUCUUGCUGUGUAUCAUUAUGGACAGGGAGUUCCGAUCUCCCAACACCAAACACAGUAGCUGGUCAAAUAUAUGCUGACUAAUGCAGAAGGGAAAACAGUUUGGGACAUAAUUAAGUGUGAAGAUUGUAUAGGUUAUCUAGGCAGAGAUGUCUAUUAGCUAACUGGAGAUAUGGGACUGGCCUGGAGCUUAGAAGAAAGGUCUGGGUAGGACAUAAAAGCAUGGAUGUCAUCUGAAACAGCUCACUAGGAAGAGGCAAGAACUAAGGAGAAGAUAAUCUGAUACAAAGCCCACAGAUCUGUGCCUAGCACACAAAACUCUCAAAUGUUUGCUGUUAAGCAGUGAACCAAAAGAUAAAUGGCAGCAAAGGAGCCUCCUGUUUUACAGAAGAACAAGACUAAAAGUACUGAUGACUGACCAGAAGCAGUGCUACCAAGUGCCUACUCAACCCACGACACGCCAGGACCGAGAAACAGACAUAUAAGAGAAGUUACUGAUGGCAUUGAAUUGCACAUGUAAAGUCUAUGGCAGCAUAAAGCAGACAAAGGUUGAGAAUCUCUGGACCACAGCAUACCUUUUUUACCCCUGGAGGGCAGAAACUGUAACCUAACUUUGUGAAAGUUUCAUUGUUUCUUCCUGAUUGUGGCCAAUAUGGAACCAGUUAAACGUGUGUUUAAUUACUAAAAUGAGUCACACAAGAUGAUCAGCCUGUGAAAGUUUGCUGACAUAAUACUAUUGGAUGGAGAAAAACAUCUUUAAAAAAAAUUCAUAAAAAUAGGUCAUGGAUUAAGAGGCCAAAUGGAGCAAUAUACAUGCAAACAUUUCCCAUAACAGAGUACUAAACAAAUGUGCUUUGUAUGGUUAGAAAACAAUUCUGAGUACUUGAGAGGAAUAACCAUCUAAUAAGACCUAAAGCAGACACUGUCACAUAACAACUUCACAUUUCUUUUUCUUCAGAAGUUAAGACAUCCUGAAUAUAGUUAACAAGAGCCUAGACUUGCUUAGUUCUGGUCUACAAUAAUCUGCACUUGAAAAGUCAUGAUUUUGUCAUUUGUACUUGAAAGUCAUGAUUUUCUUCUCAUAUCUUAGAGGUACUUAGUGCAGGUAUUAUCAGAGGUAGGUUAAGUGGUUAGCUCGAGGUCACACAUCUAGUCAUAAAACCAAGUCUUUUGGUUCCAAAUCUUGUAUUUCCACCAUACCAUUUUGCUGACUUCCUAAAAAUUAACUGCUGACUUGCACACCGCUAUGGGAUUCAUAAGAACUACUCCCACCCCUCCAGUUAUUAUGGCUGUGAUACAAAUUGCCAAAGUUUAUCUGUGGUAGAAGAAAACCCAGGAACCAGCUAUAGGAAAGGAAAUAACUUGUGACUUCAGCGGAAUUUGGGGGCCCUCUAUAAUUCCUAAAAUGGAACAAUUCCUGCAGAAAGAAGAGGUAAUAUAAUGAACAUUGUUCACUGAUUUCUACUGGAUUUCUACUAGAUCCAGUAAGAAUAUGUAGUUCCUUUUUUCUUUUUUAAUGAGAGAAGUUUUCAAACGUGCACAAAAUUAUAAGACGACUUCAUAUUACCAUCACUGAGUUUCAGCAAUUCUCAAUAUACUAUUUUUGUUAGAUCCACCUUCUACUUUUUUCCUUAAGAUUUUGUUUUUGCUUUUUUGUUGUUUUUUUUUUAGAGAAAGAGAAAGCAUGAGUGGGAUAGAGGGGCAGAAGGAGAGAAUCCUAAGCAGGCUCCACGCUCAGCGCGGAGCCUGAUGAAGGGCUCAAUCCCAUGACCCUAGGAUCAUAACCUGAGCUGAAAUCAAGAGUUGGACGCUCAGCCAUCUGAGCCACCCAGCCCUUAAGUAUUUUAAAGCAAACAUUGAGACAUAACAUUUAACAACACAUACUUUAGUAUGUAUCUCUAAACGAUAAGGACAUUAAAAAAACAACCACAGGGCUAUUAUCACAUCUAAAAAAAUGAACUAUUUUCUUAAUAUCAUCCAGUACCCAAGGCAUAUUCAGUUUCCUCAGUUGCCUCAAAACAGAUAAUUUUUUACAGAUAUUUACUCAAACUAGGAUCCAAGCAGCAUCCAAACAUUGCACCUGGUUGGUAACUUGUCUCUUUUAAUCUAAAAAUACCGUGCCCCCAUUGUGUAUCUUAUUUGUUAAAUAAACUCGGUCCUUUGUCCCAUAAA